GACGAACGCUGGCGGCGCGCCUAACACAUGCAAGUCGAACGGAGCUGAGAGAAGCUUGCCUUUCUUAGCUUAGUGGCGAACGGGUGAGUAACGCGUGAGUAACCUGCCCUGGAGUGGGGGACAACAGUUGGAAACGACUGCUAAUACCGCAUAAGCCCACGAUCCGGCAUCGGAUUGAGGGAAAAGGAUUUAUUCGCUUCAGGAUGGACUCGCGUCCAAUUAGCUAGUUGGUGAGGUAACGGCCCACCAAGGCGACGAUUGGUAGCCGGACUGAGAGGUUGAACGGCCACAUUGGGACUGAGACACGGCCCAGACUCCUACGGGAGGCAGCAGUGGGGGAUAUUGCACAAUGGGGGAAACCCUGAUGCAGCGACGCCGCGUGGAGGAAGAAGGUUUUCGGAUUGUAAACUCCUGUCGUUAGGGACGAUAAUGACGGUACCUAACAAGAAAGCACCGGCUAACUACGUG
RNAcentral lists this ribosomal RNA (468 nucleotides) under uncultured bacterium. RNAcentral's name for it is "partial 16S ribosomal RNA". It matches the Rfam family "Bacterial small subunit ribosomal RNA", at positions 28 to 507 of the family's 1533-position model. The record is from RNAcentral.